This 433-nucleotide ribosomal RNA is filed under the name uncultured bacterium. RNAcentral's name for it is "partial 16S ribosomal RNA". It matches the Rfam family "Bacterial small subunit ribosomal RNA", at positions 29 to 507 of the family's 1533-position model. The record is from RNAcentral.
AACGAACGCUGGCGGCAUGCCUAACACAUGCAAGUCGAACGAGACCUUCGGGUCUAGUGGCGCACGGGUGCGUAACGCGUGGGAACCUGCCCUUAGGUUCGGAAUAACUCCCCGAAAGGGGUGCUAAUACCGGAUAAUGUCUUCGGACCAAAGAUUUAUCGCCUUUGGAUGGGCCCGCGUUGGAUUGGCUAGUUGGUAGGGUAAAAGCCUACCAAGGCGACGAUCCAUAGCUGGUCUGAGAGGAUGAUCAGCCACACUGGGACUGAGACACGGCCCAGACUCCUACGGGAGGCAGCAGUGGGGAAUAUUGGACAAUGGGCGAAAGCCUGAUCCAGCAAUGCCGCGUGAGUGAUGAAGGCCUUAGGGUUGUAAAGCUCUUUUACCUGGGAUGAUAAUGACAGUACCGGGAGAAUAAGCUCCGGCUAACUCCGUG